RNAcentral lists this ribosomal RNA (253 nucleotides) under uncultured bacterium. RNAcentral's name for it is "partial 16S ribosomal RNA". It matches the Rfam family "Bacterial small subunit ribosomal RNA", at positions 524 to 776 of the family's 1533-position model. The record is from RNAcentral.
UACGUAGGGUGCGAGCGUUGUCCGGAAUUAUUGGGCGUAAAGGGCUCGUAGGCGGUUUGUCGCGUCGGGAGUGAAAACACCGGGCUUAACUCGGUGCUUGCUUUCGAUACGGGCAGACUAGAGGCAUGCAGGGGAGAACGGAAUUCCUGGUGUAGCGGUGAAAUGCGCAGAUAUCAGGAGGAACACCGGUGGCGAAGGCGGUUCUCUGGGCAUGUCCUGACGCUGAGGAGCGAAAGUGUGGGGAGCGAACGGG